UAUUGCACAAUGGGGGGAACCCUGAUGCAGCAACGCCGCGUGAGUGAAGAAGUAUUUCGGUAUGUAAAGCUCUAUCAGCAGGGAAGAAAGAAAUGACGGUACCUGAGUAAGAAGCCCCGGCUAACUACGUGCCAGCAGCCGCGGUAAUAUGUAGGGGGCAAGCGUUACCCGGAAUUACGGGGUGUAAAGGGAGCGUAGACGGUGAUGUAAGUCUGGAGUGAAAGGCGGGGGCCCAACCCCCGGACUGCUCUGGAAACUAUGUGACUGGAGUGCAGGAGAGGUGAGCGGAAUUCCUAGUGUAGCGGUGAAAUGCAUAGAUAUUAGGAGGAACACCAGUGGCGAAGGCGGCUCACUGGACUGUAACUGACGUUGAGGCUCGAAAGCGUGGGGAGCAAACAGG
RNAcentral lists this ribosomal RNA (400 nucleotides) under uncultured bacterium. Its description in RNAcentral is "bacterial SSU rRNA". It matches the Rfam family "Bacterial small subunit ribosomal RNA", at positions 362 to 776 of the family's 1533-position model. The record is from RNAcentral.